This 393-nucleotide ribosomal RNA is filed under the name uncultured bacterium. RNAcentral describes it as "partial 16S ribosomal RNA". It matches the Rfam family "Bacterial small subunit ribosomal RNA", at positions 523 to 918 of the family's 1533-position model. The record is from RNAcentral.
AUACGGAGGAUCCGAGCGUUAUCCGGAUUUAUUGGGUUUAAAGGGUACGCAGGCGGCCAUUUAAGUCAGCGGUUAAAUCGUGGGGCUCGACCCCAUUCUGCCGUUGAUACUGGGUGGCUUGAUUGCGGUCGAGGUUUGGCGGAAUUCGUUGUGUAGCGGUGAAAUGCAUAGAUAUGACGAAGAACACCGAUUGCGUAGGCAGCUGACCAGAUCGCAAAUGACGCUCAUGCACGAAAGUGCGGGGAUUGAACAGGAUUAGAUACCCUGGUAGUCCGCACAGUAAACGAUGAAUACUUGUUUUCGGCGAUAUAAUGUCGGAGGCAAAGCGAAAGCGAUAAGUAUUCCACCUGGGGAGUACGCCGGCAACGGUGAAACUCAAAUGAAUUGACGGGG